CCUAGGGGAGGCAGCAGUAGGGAACAUUGGGCAAUGGGCGCAAGCCUGACCCAGCGACGCCGCGUGAGGGAUGAAGGUCUUCGGAUUGUAAACCUCUUUCAGUAGGGAAGAAGCGAAAGUGACGGUACCUAAAGAAGAAGCACCGGCUAACUAUGUGCCAGCAGCCGCGG
RNAcentral lists this ribosomal RNA (170 nucleotides) under uncultured bacterium. RNAcentral's name for it is "partial 16S ribosomal RNA". It matches the Rfam family "Bacterial small subunit ribosomal RNA", at positions 338 to 520 of the family's 1533-position model. The record is from RNAcentral.